RNAcentral lists this ribosomal RNA (346 nucleotides) under uncultured bacterium. Its description in RNAcentral is "partial 16S ribosomal RNA". It matches the Rfam family "Bacterial small subunit ribosomal RNA", at positions 338 to 681 of the family's 1533-position model. The record is from RNAcentral.
CCUACGGGACGCAGCAGUGAGGAAUAUUGGUCAAUGGACGCAAGUCUGAACCAGCCAUGCCGCGUGCAGGAAGACGGCUCUAUGAGUUGUAAACUGCUUUUGUACGAGGGUAAACGCAGAUACGCGUAUCUGUCUGAAAGUAUCGUACGAAUAAGGAUCGGCUAACUCCGUGCCAGCAGCCGCGGUAAUACGGAGGAGUAAAGCGUUAUCCGGAUUUAUUGGGUUGAAAGGGUGCGUAGGCGGUCGGAUAAGUUAGAGGUGAAAUCCCGAGGCUCAACUUCGGAAUUGCCUCUGAUACUGGUCGGCUCGAUCGUAGUUGCGGUAAGCGGACUGUCUCGUGUAGCGG